Molecule: transfer RNA, 83 nt
Filed under: Ascochyta rabiei
Lineage: Eukaryota; Fungi; Ascomycota; Dothideomycetes; Pleosporales; Didymellaceae
Also listed under: 2 other names
Description: tRNA-Val
Source: RNAcentral
GGUUCGAUGGUGUAGUUGGUUAUCACGUCAGUCUAACAAUGUUAGUCCACUGAAGGUCUCCAGUUCAAGUCUGGGUCGAAUCA